RNAcentral lists this ribosomal RNA (253 nucleotides) under uncultured bacterium. RNAcentral describes it as "partial 16S ribosomal RNA". It matches the Rfam family "Bacterial small subunit ribosomal RNA", at positions 524 to 776 of the family's 1533-position model. The record is from RNAcentral.
UACGGAGGGUGCAAGCGUUAUCCGGAUUCACUGGGUUUAAAGGGUGCGUAGGUGGCUUUGUAAGUCAGUGGUGAAAUGCCGGAGCUUAACUCCGGAACUGCCAUUGAUACUGCUUAGCUUGAAUCACGUCGAGGUGGAUGGAAUAUUACAUGUAGCGGUGAAAUGCGCAGAUAUCAGGAGGAACACCGGUGGCGGAGGCGGUUCUCUGGGCAUGUCCUGACGCUGAGGAGCGAAAGUGUGGGGAGCGAACAGG